Molecule: ribosomal RNA, 403 nt
Filed under: uncultured Actinomycetales bacterium
Lineage: Bacteria; Bacillati; Actinomycetota; Actinomycetes; Actinomycetales
Description: bacterial SSU rRNA
Rfam family: Bacterial small subunit ribosomal RNA
Source: RNAcentral
UGGGGAAUAUUGCGCAAUGGGCGAAAGCCUGACGCAGCGACGCCGCGUGAGGGAUGAAGGCCUUCGGGUUGUAAACCUCUUUCAGCAGGGACGAAAACAGACGGUACCUGCAGAAGAAGCACCGGCCAACUACGUGCCAGCAGCCGCGGUAAUACGUAGGGUGCAAGCGUUGUCCGGAAUUAUUGGGCGUAAAGAGCUCGUAGGCGGUCUGUCGCGUCGGCUGUGAAAUCUUGGGGCUCAACCCCAAGCCUGCAGUCGAUACGGGCAGACUAGAGUGCGGUAGGGGAGACUGGAAUUCCUGGUGUAGCGGUGAAAUGCGCAGAUAUCAGGAGGAACACCGGUGGCGAAGGCGGGUCUCUGGGCCGUAACUGACGCUGAGGAGCGAAAGCGUGGGGAGCAAACA